GGCGGCGCAGAGGUCGCUGCCCCGACGUGCUCAGGAGAGACAAGCCCUUGUGCCCAGAGUUGGAAAAGAAGUCCCAGCAUCCAAGGCCCGACCUUCCGAAGAGACGCUUGCAGUUCAGAGUCUUUUGGCUUCAGCCCUCCUUUGUCUGAAAGAUGUUUGUUGGAAGUACAGAACUCCCUACUUCUCCGCCAUCUUGCUGCUGACCAACAUCUUUUUUAUUGAAAAAGAAAAUCUCCAUUAAUGUUAAAGAAAAACAGGUGGGAGUCUUACCCCGUAUAAACCAGCCUGUUGUAAGGCUGAGGAAGGCACCACGGUUUGCGGAGGGUUUUCUCCAUAGUUUCUGCAUCUUGAAGCCAGACCUUCUCCUCUUCACAUACAGCGAGGCAUCUCAGCCUGGGGACCUGUCCUCCUCCAUCCUGAAGGCACACUGAGCUGCUCUGGCAUUUGGAGACACCAGCCUAUGGUCUCCCCCAGAGGGCGUUUCUGGGUAAACAAGAUCCCCUGUGACCCACCCUUGGGUAUCUGUGCCAGAGACAAAUCUCAUCCUAUGAACUCACCUCUACUGAGAGGGUAAACACAGGAAGAACCUCCUUCAGAGUCAAUUUUCUUUCUAAGCAUUUCAUAUGCAAGUGACCUAAGAUUAAUUUUGGCUUAAAGACACUAUAAACAUCUCUGGGGCACUGGGUUUCAGCAGUUGUUUUUGUUAUACAGUGGAUGGAGCCCUAAGAGUGAGCCAGUAGAGUGCUAGGUCAGCGCUCCUCCACGUGCACAGGUGUGCUGGCUUCACAACCUUAUAAUGUUGAAAAUGUCAUCCUGACCAGACAAUGAGAGGAGAUGUGUAAAAGCACUAGGUGAGCUGUAUACCUUGAAACAAAUAUGAGGCAAUACUACAAGCCCAUGUAGUGUGUGAUCAUUGGUCCU
RNAcentral lists this long non-coding RNA (921 nucleotides) under Suricata suricatta (meerkat). RNAcentral's name for it is "lncRNA (ENSSSUG00005017329.1)". The record is from RNAcentral. Lineage: Eukaryota; Metazoa; Chordata; Mammalia; Carnivora; Herpestidae.